GUGAGCAUAGCUCAGUGGUAGAGCACGUGCUUAGCAUGCACAAGGUCCUGGGUUCAAUCCCCAGUACCUCCA
RNAcentral lists this transfer RNA (72 nucleotides) under Camelus bactrianus (Bactrian camel). It matches the Rfam family "tRNA". From Rfam's summary of the family: Transfer RNA (tRNA) molecules are approximately 80 nucleotides in length. Their secondary structure includes four short double-helical elements and three loops (D, anti-codon, and T loops). Further hydrogen bonds mediate the characteristic L-shaped molecular structure. tRNAs have two regions of fundamental functional importance: the anti-codon, which is responsible for specific mRNA codon recognition, and the 3' end, to which the tRNAs corresponding amino acid is attached (by aminoacyl-tRNA synthetases). tRNAs cope with the degeneracy of the genetic code in two manners: having more than one tRNA (with a specific anti-codon) for a particular amino acid; and 'wobble' base-pairing, i.e. permitting non-standard base-pairing at the 3rd anti-codon position. Lineage: Eukaryota; Metazoa; Chordata; Mammalia; Artiodactyla; Camelidae. The record is from Rfam by way of RNAcentral. RNAcentral also lists the same sequence under 3 other names.